AACUCCGUUGUUUCCAUAGUCCAACUAUGGUUUUAUAAAACAGGAACCCUUAUUUACUGUCCUAACAGACUUUUAAUUCUGAGGAAUCAAAUAAACCCCUUUGAAGGUGUCGCCCCAAAAUACUUGUCGAUAAUCGCUGUUGCGAUGUCACUCCAUAGAGCCGAUAGACCAUCGUCACGGUGUCGCUCUAGCGAGCCAGUCAUUCCAUGAUGCAACCAAUCUCCAUUGUAUCCCUUUAUCAAUCCGUCUAUUCCUCCAUUUCGCCAAGUAUUCAUAACUUUAUCUACCCCCUCAAGGUUAUAACUAUUCUAGCAGAUGGUGCUGCAAAUAGUAGGUUGUUGGAGUUGCGUCUGAUUCACCAACUAUUGGGUCGUGAUUGGAGAGUUCGUCUUCGAUAUAUUUUGAAGGGCCACAACAAAGUUGCUAACCAUAUGGCUAAACUUCCAAAUUUAUAUUGCAAUGAGAUGCAGAUUUUUAUAAAGAUUCCAGUGUCGGCAGAAAAUUUACUCAAAUUAUAUUGACCGUUUGGCUAAUAUCAUUUGGUAGUAUGUUAUUAUA
This is a long non-coding RNA of Gossypium arboreum, 558 nucleotides long. RefSeq lists it as uncharacterized. Lineage: Eukaryota; Viridiplantae; Streptophyta; Magnoliopsida; Malvales; Malvaceae. The transcript is spliced from 2 exons. The record is from RefSeq and is a predicted model, not a curated record.